This 255-nucleotide ribosomal RNA is filed under the name uncultured bacterium. Its description in RNAcentral is "partial 16S ribosomal RNA". It matches the Rfam family "Bacterial small subunit ribosomal RNA", at positions 99 to 354 of the family's 1533-position model. The record is from RNAcentral.
CGAACGGGUGAGUAACGCGUGAGCAACCUGCCUUUCAGUGGGGGACAACAGAGGGAAACUUCUGCUAAUACCGCAUAACGUGCCUUGGGGGCAUCCCUGGGGUACCAAAGAUUUGUUGCUGAAAGAUGGGCUCGCGUCUGAUUAGAUAGUUGGUGGGGUAACGGCCCACCAAGUCGACGAUCAGUAGCCGGUCUGAGAGGAUGAACGGCCACAUUGGGACUGAGAUACGGCCCAGACUCCUACGGAAGGCAGCAG